AGUACCUUGUGUUGUGCUACCCCUCUGUGCACUGUGGGCUGCCAGCUAGCCGAGUCAGAAGUCUCGCACAUCUUUUGAAGUCUGAGAAGAGAGGAUGAAAUGGAAAAGACGGAGGAAGCUGGAGAAAACCCAUGCAUGCACAGGGAGAACAUGUAAACUCCAUGCAGAAAGAUCCCAGGAAGGUGGGGAACCAGGGAUCUUCUAGCUGUGAGGCAACGGUGCAAACCACCAAUGUUCAGCAGACAUCAUACGUUUCAGCUCUCUCCCCAACUCUCUCUCUCUCUCUCCUGCUGACAAGUGGAGUACGGCUUCACAACUGCUUCUACUUGUUUCUCUCUGCCGCUGGCGUCCUCCGGCUCCCUUUGGUUACACUCCUGUCCCCAGCAUCCCGCUGAUCCUCGGCUCCGCUGAUCCUCGGCUCCGCUGAUCCUCGGCUCCGCUGCUCUGUCCCACUCCCCUUCUUGGCUUCUUCCUCUGACCGCUCCUCACCACCCCUCACUCCCUCUCCUGAAAUAUCCCUUACAAUAUACCUGCUUGCACUCAGUUCGCCUCACUGUGUACUCUCUGCACGGGUUCACCUCCUAAAACCAUAACACUAUAGCAGCUGAAGAGCCUCUAAAUCAGCAUUUUGGACAGAAGAAUCCUUACGAGGACUCCUCCAACAGGGCUCUGUACACAGGAGAACACAUUCCACUCUAAUAGGCCACAUUUGUGUCACCCAAAUACCAACUCCUAUCAGACACUAAAACAGGCAAAAACAAAGUCUAUUCUACUAACUUAAGAUAAUAUCAAAUCAAACUGAAGGUGAGUGGAUUUGACUCAGUAGAAAAAACAUGACAAAAUAGAGAAAAAAUAAAUUAUUAGUGUUAUUAUUAUUAUCUCAAGUAAACAAUAAAAAAUGAGUUUUCUAAAAAUUUAUAAAACAGAGUUAUCUGUUUUUGCAAAUGAACUCUUCAAUUGUAGAAUUGUGGUUCAGAGCUUUCAGCAGCACCUUCACAUUAUCAGGCAGUUUUAAUUUUGUGGCUGAUCGAUGUAUCCACAAAAAAGUGUUUACAACCUUUUAACCUUUAACAUUUUAUGCAGAAUAAAGAACUGUCUGUUGUAAUGAACUUGACCUGUGUCUUAUUAUGGUACACCCGUGUACCAAAUAUGGUGAGGCUACAUCAAUAUUUUAUGGAGUUAUCGUGCGCAAACCAAAUCGUUACAGACAAACAACGGAACAAGUAAGCAAGACCUCACAGCUCAAAACAAUACCUUCCGGCAAACGACGUUUGUCCGGGCGGUAAUAAGGACAUUCUCAGUGCAACAUUUGGCAAAAGAAAGAAAACUUAACACUUGAAGCAUUACCAGAAUGUUGCAGAACUUUCUCUGAAUGUUUUUCGAACAAACACAAAAUCUAGCUGGUGCAGCCAAAUAAUGAGAAGAAGAAUCAAAAAAUAUGAAUGAAAUAAGUAAAUAAUUAAAUCCAAUAAUAUAUAAUAACUUUGAAUUGUAUUAAAGGGCAGCUGGAAGAACCACUUUGAUGUCUGUUUGUCCUGGAUAUUGUCAGACUGUCGAAUCUGCAGCCUGAGGAAAGGAACUUGAUGUCGCUGGACGGUGGGUGGCAAAGAUCAGACGAUCGUCAUCAGUGAUCAAUGACGUCUCCACGAUUCCUGAUCAACAGCAUCUCUACCCUGAAUAGUCCAGCAAUAAUCACAUAAUCCAAACGGCCGUGAUACUAAAAGGAAAAUGACUUCAAUAUAAGAAAUGACACAUCGAGUUAUUUCAAAGGUCAGUGGCAGCUGAUAGAGGCGCUUUUAGGUCUAGUUGUCCUGCAUGCUGAUUGUAUCUGCAGACAGAUGGAAACAACUUGACCUCUUUGGACAGGCGGUGGUCUGGAUCAGCCUGGAUUCACUGAGCCUUCUUCUUCUUCUGAGUCUUAACCUUAUACUGAUGAGAAAGCUCAUUCAGUGCCUGAUAAUUUGCUGUACGCUUUGAUUUUAUAAAACAGGAAUAGGGGACAGGACUGUGGGGCCAUUAUUCUUUGAGUUAACUUUCAUUUUCACUCACUGUUUAGUUAGGUUUAGGACCCACAUUACAGGAAAUGAAAUAAUGUAAAGUAGGCUGUGAAAAACACUAUACAGUAGUUUUUCUUUCAAAAAGAAAUCGUCAUGAAUUUUGUCCAAAAAAACGCCAUUGUAUACUAUGUCUAUGUUCACACUGCAGGCUAAAGUGACCCAAAUCUGAUUUUCUUUGCCCCUAUGCGACCUCUAUCUGAUCUUUUCAUGACAGUCUGAAUGACACAGAUCCAAUUUUUUCAAAUGCAACCCAGGCCACUUGCAUAUGUGGAACUAAUUCCGAUACGUAUCGGAUCUUUUGCCAUGCGACUUCAGUCUGAACGGCCAGGUCACAUUUAUCAGACCUAUACGUCAUCGGUACACGACAAACGUCACUAUUCUGCGUUCAAGAAAAACACGUCUUCGGGCUGCUGAAGACGUGUGUCUUGCCGUGAGAGUGUUAAAAAGAGGCGCUCACAUAUGUAGGUAAAGGUCGCCCUUAUCAUUUGAAAAUUCUGAAUGAAGUCUGCAUCUGUGAAGCCUCUCACAUCACUAUCCAUCACUCCUGGCUGCGACUCCACACCCACACAGUUCUCUGGACAGACGUUGCUGCCACUGCCCCACAAAACACCAGGGCCAAAAUCCUGGCUCUCUUCCUUCUUGACCUUCUCCUUAAAAUGAUAAAGUUAGAAAUAUGCUGUUAGCGUCCAUGUUUACUUCUGUAAACACUGAACACGCUCUCUGCGUGUCGUUGUUGUGUCCUCUUCUGCGCAUGCGGGAACCUUUUGGGUCGUGUGAGGUUCACACAGGAGAUCACAUACAAGUCGCAUUUAAUUGGAAAUGUGAACGAACUCGCAAAAAAUCGGAUUUCACAAAAAAAUCAGAAUUGAGCAUUAAGCCCUGCAGUCUGAACGUAGCCUAUGUCGAAAAAAAUGCCAUUUUUUUCAACGUGUCGUAAAAACAUUCUAUAUGAUGAAGUAAUGUAAAGUAGGCCGUGAAAAACACCAUAGAGCAGUUUUCUUUUUUAAAAAAUCAUCAUGAAUGUUGUCCAAAAAAACCGCCAUUGUACUAUGUCGAAAAAAAUGCGAUUUUUUCAACAUGUCGUAAAAACAUGCCAUAUGAUGAAAUAAUGUAAAGUAGGCCAUGAAAAACACUAUAGAGCAAUUUUCUUUGAAAAUAAAACCGUCAUGAAUUUUGACACCAAAAUUAUUCGGUAAAGUAAAAAAAAUUGGAUUAUAGUGCAACACUUGCACAACAUGUUUGAAGCUUUCCUUCCAUUUUUUGGUUUACAAAGAUCACAAUUCCCAGCCCAUCUAAUAUACAUUACUGUUCAAAAGUUUGGUUUCACUUAGAAAUGUCUUCAUUUUUGAAAGAAAAGUAGUUUGCUUUCAAUGAAUAUAACAUUAAAUUGAUCAGAAGUACAGUCCAUUCAUUAUUAAUGUGGUAAAUGACUAUUGUAGCUGGAAACAGCUGAUUUUUAAUGGAAUAUCUCCAUAGGGGUACAGAGGAACAUUUCCAGCAACCAUCACUCCUGUGUUCUAAUGCUACAUUGUGUUAGCUAAUGCUGUUGAAAUCUAAUUAAUGAUUUGAAAACCCUUGAGCAGUUAUGUUAGCACAUGAAUAAAAGUGUGAGUUUUCAUGGAAAACAUGAAAUUGUCUGGGUGUUCCCAAACUUUUGAACAGUUGUGUAUGAUUGAAUGGCAGUGGAGCAAUAGAACAACCAGUUAAAGAUAUGUACAUUAGAAACAUAUUUGUUGCAUCACAAACAAACAUCAUCCAAAAGACAAUACGUUUUUGCUCAAAACAUAAUUGAGAAUGCAGUUUGGUUGGUUAGGAACGUAAGCUUUAGUUUGCCUUGACAUGAAGUUUUUUUUUGCGUCCUUUAAAGGCCCACUUGUGCUUAAAUGGGGGGAAGAAAAUAUGAUGCACUUUGAUAAACAGGAUGUGAUUUUAACUCCGAGAUUAAUUCCUCACAGGGACAAAUAAUGGUUUGUUGGUGUUACAUCAAUAAUAAAAAGUGUAUACAUUUG
Long non-coding RNA from Acanthochromis polyacanthus (spiny chromis), 4066 nucleotides. RefSeq lists it as uncharacterized. The record is from RefSeq and is a predicted model, not a curated record. The transcript is spliced from 3 exons. NCBI's taxonomy places the organism in Eukaryota, Metazoa, Chordata, Actinopteri, Pomacentridae.